RNAcentral lists this ribosomal RNA (505 nucleotides) under uncultured Rhodococcus sp. RNAcentral describes it as "bacterial SSU rRNA". It matches the Rfam family "Bacterial small subunit ribosomal RNA", at positions 903 to 1382 of the family's 1533-position model. Lineage: Bacteria; Bacillati; Actinomycetota; Actinomycetes; Mycobacteriales; Nocardiaceae. The record is from RNAcentral.
CGCCUUGCCAGCCCGCUCAGAAACUUAAAGGAAUUGACGGGGGCCCGCACAAGCGGCGGAGCAUGUGGAUUAAUUCGAUGCAACGCGAAGAACCUUACCUGGGUUUGACAUACACCGGAAAACCGUAGAGAUACGGUCCCCCUUGUGGUCGGUGUACAGGUGGUGCAUGGCUGUCGUCAGCUCGUGUCGUGAGAUGUUGGGUUAAGUCCCGCAACGAGCGCAACCCUUGUCUUAUGUUGCCAGCACGUGAUGGUGGGGACUCGUAAGAGACUGCCGGGGUCAACUCGGAGGAAGGUGGGGACGACGUCAAGUCAUCAUGCCCCUUAUGUCCAGGGCUUCACACAUGCUACAAUGGCCAGUACAGAGGGCUGCGAGACCGUGAGGUGGAGCGAAUCCCUUAAAGCUGGUCUCAGUUCGGAUCGGGGUCUGCAACUCGACCCCGUGAAGUCGGAGUCGCUAGUAAUCGCAGAUCAGCAACGCUGCGGUGAAUACGUUCCCGGGCCUU